UACCCCCACCUUUGCCAACUGAAUUUGUGUCUUUAUUGGUCAUUCAAGUGGAACAAAGGAAAUACCUUUUAAAAACUCAGGGAAGGGAGUUGGGCAGUAGUGCAGUGGGUUAAGUA
This 116-nucleotide small nucleolar RNA is filed under the name Erinaceus europaeus (western European hedgehog). RNAcentral's name for it is "Small nucleolar RNA SNORA27 (ENSEEUG00000023749.1)". The record is from RNAcentral. Lineage: Eukaryota; Metazoa; Chordata; Mammalia; Eulipotyphla; Erinaceidae.